RNAcentral lists this ribosomal RNA (229 nucleotides) under uncultured bacterium. RNAcentral describes it as "partial 16S ribosomal RNA". It matches the Rfam family "Bacterial small subunit ribosomal RNA", at positions 568 to 796 of the family's 1533-position model. The record is from RNAcentral.
UGCGUAGGCGGAUUGAUAAGUCAGUGGUGAAAACCUUCAGCUUAACUGGAGACUUGCCAUUGAUACUGUUAGUCUUGAGUACGGUCAAGGUAGGCGGAAUGUGUAAUGUAGCGGUGAAAUGCUUAGAUAUUACACAGAACACCGAUUGCGAAGGCAGCUUACUGGGCCAUUACUGACGCUGAGGCACGAAAGCGUGGGGAGCAAACAGGAUUAGAUACCCUGGUAGUCC